RNAcentral lists this long non-coding RNA (471 nucleotides) under Olea europaea (common olive). RNAcentral describes it as "long non-coding RNA (OEUR_LNC012114)". Lineage: Eukaryota; Viridiplantae; Streptophyta; Magnoliopsida; Lamiales; Oleaceae. The record is from RNAcentral.
AGGUAUAUAUUAUGGCUCAUAAUGCCAUUUUUAUCAUGUAAAUUUAUUCAAUGUGUACGUAGAUAAAAGAAAGUGCUCUUACCUGGUCAACAAAGUGGAAAGAAUGACAUGAAAAGCAUUCGAAAGAAUGACAUAUGAAAAGCAGAAUGCUACAGUGAGUCUGAACACAUCGUGGAUUAGCAUUUUAAGAGAGAUGAUUUACUGUGAGAAGGCCACAAAUCUUAAAUAAGAUUAUAACGUAAACUGAUUAUUCUUAAUUUUAUGUUAAUGUGUUCAUAGUUUAUUAGGUGGUAGUAUGGUAGAUCUUAAUGCAUAUAAUCCAUGCUUUCCUUAAUUUUUCUGUCAUUUCAAUUUUUGAGGUUUAUGAGAAGCUGCUUUGAUCUGAGGGGCAUCAUAGUAUAAGGAUGUUCUAAAUUUUGUCCUAUGUAAUAGUUUCAAUAAUAUGAACAUGUUGGCUUUGGCAUCACAGGG